AGCGAACGCUGGCGGCAGGCCUAACACAUGCAAGUCGAACGAACCUUUCGGGGUUAGUGGCGGACGGGUGAGUAACACGUGGGAACGUGCCUUUAGGUUCGGAGUAACUCAGGGAAACUUGUGCUAAUACCGAAUGUGCCCUUCGGGGGAAAGAUUUAUCGCCUUUAGAGCGGCCCGCGUCUGAUUAGCUAGUUGGUUGAGGUAAUGGCUCACCAAGGCGACGAUCAGUAGCUGGUCUGAGAGGAUGAUCAGCCACAUUGGGACUGAGACACGGCCCAAACUCCUACGGAAGGCAGCAGUGGGGAAUCUUGCGCAAUGGGCGAAAGCCUGACGCAGCCAUGCCGCGUGAAUGAUGAAGGUCGUAGGAUUGUAAAAUUCUUUCACCGGGGACGAUAAUGACGGUACCCGGAGAAGAAGCCCCGGCUAACUUCGU
RNAcentral lists this ribosomal RNA (433 nucleotides) under uncultured bacterium. RNAcentral describes it as "partial 16S ribosomal RNA". It matches the Rfam family "Bacterial small subunit ribosomal RNA", at positions 29 to 506 of the family's 1533-position model. The record is from RNAcentral.